AGAGUUUGAUCCUGGCUCAGGAUGAACGCUGGCGGCGUGCUUAACACAUGCAAGUCGAACGGACCCAUAUUGAAACCUAGUGAUAUAUGGGUUAGUGGCGGACGGGUGAGUAACGCGUGGGUAACCUGCCUUACACAGGGGGAUAACACUUAGAAAUAGGUGCUAAAACCGCAUAAGCGCACAGCUUCGCAUGAAGCGGUGUGAAAAACUCCGGUGGUGUAAGAUGGACCCGCGUCUGAUUAGCUUGUUGGCGGGGUAACGGCCCACCAAGGCGACGAUCAGUAGCCGGCCUGAGAGGGCGGACGGCCACAUUGGGACUGAGACACGGCCCAGACUCCUACGGGAGGCAGCAGUGGGGAAUAUUGCACAAUGGGGGAAACCCUGAUGCAGCGACGCCGCGUGAGUGAAGAAGUAAUUCGUUACGUAAAGCUCUAUCAGCAGGGAAGAAAUACUGACCUUACGGUCAGCAGACGGUACCCGAGUAAGAAGCCCCGGCUAACUACGUG
This 506-nucleotide ribosomal RNA is filed under the name uncultured Eubacteriales bacterium. RNAcentral describes it as "bacterial SSU rRNA". It matches the Rfam family "Bacterial small subunit ribosomal RNA", at positions 8 to 507 of the family's 1533-position model. Lineage: Bacteria; Bacillati; Bacillota; Clostridia; Eubacteriales. The record is from RNAcentral.